CCUGAUGCAGCAACGACCGCGUGAACGAUGAAGGUCUUCGGAUCGUAAAGUUCUGUUGCAGGGGAAGAUAAUGACGGUACCCUGUGAGGAAGCCCCGGCUAACUACGUGCCAGCAGCCGCGGUAAUACGUAGGGGGCUAGCGUUAUCCGGAUUUACUGGGCGUUAAAGGGUGCGUAGGUGGUCCUUCAAGUCGGUGGUUAAAGGCUACGGCUCAACCGUAGUAAGCCGCCGAAACUGGAGGACUUGAGUGCAGGAGAGGAAAGUGGAAUUCCCAGUGUAGCGGUGAAAUGCGUAGAUAUUGGGAGGAACACCAGUAGCGAAGGCGGCUUUCUGGACUGCAACUGACACUGAGGCACGAAAGCGUGGGUAGCAAACAGGAUUAGAUACCCUGGUAGUCCACGCUGUAAACGAUGAGUACUAGGUGUCGGGGGUUACCCCCCUCGGUGCCGCAGCUAACGCAUUAAGUACUCCGCCUGGGGAGUACGCACGCAAGUGUGAAACUCAAAGGAAUUGACGGGGACCCGCACAAGUAGCGGAGCAUGUGGUUUAAUUCGAGCACGCGAAGAACCU
RNAcentral lists this ribosomal RNA (570 nucleotides) under Peptostreptococcus stomatis. RNAcentral's name for it is "bacterial SSU rRNA". It matches the Rfam family "Bacterial small subunit ribosomal RNA", at positions 382 to 971 of the family's 1533-position model. The record is from RNAcentral. Lineage: Bacteria; Bacillati; Bacillota; Clostridia; Peptostreptococcales; Peptostreptococcaceae.